UGGGGAAUUUUGGACAAUGGGGGAAACCCUGAUCCAGCCAUCCCGCGUGUGCGAUGAAGGCCUUCGGGUUGUAAAGCACUUUUGGCAGGAAAGAAACGUCAUGGGUUAAUACCCCGUGAAACUGACGGUACCUGCAGAAUAAGCACCGGCUAACUACGUGCCAGCAGCCGCGGUAAUACGUAGGGUGCAAGCGUUAAUCGGAAUUACUGGGCGUAAAGCGUGCGCAGGCGGUUCGGAAAGAAAGAUGUGAAAUCCCAGAGCUCAACUUUGGAACUGCAUUUUUAACUACCGGGCUAGAGUGUGUCAGAGGGAGGUGGAAUUCCGCGUGUAGCAGUGAAAUGCGUAGAUAGGCGGAGGAACACCGAUGGCGAAGGCAGCCUCCUGGGAUAACACUGACGCUCAUGCACGAAAGCGUGGGGAGCAAACAGG
This 429-nucleotide ribosomal RNA is filed under the name Acidobacteriota bacterium. RNAcentral describes it as "Acidobacteria bacterium partial 16S ribosomal RNA". It matches the Rfam family "Bacterial small subunit ribosomal RNA", at positions 355 to 776 of the family's 1533-position model. The record is from RNAcentral. Lineage: Bacteria; Pseudomonadati; Acidobacteriota.